UACGAAGGGUGCAAGCGUUACUCGGAAUUACUGGGCGUAAAGGGCUCGUAGGCGGCCAACUAAGUCGGAUGUGAAAUCCCCAGGCUUAACCUGGGAACUGCAUCCGAUACUGGAAGGCUUGAAUCCGGGAGAGGGAUGCGGAAUUCCAGGUGUAGCGGUGAAAUGCGUAGAUAUCUGGAGGAACACCGGUGGCGAAGGCGGCAUCCUGGACCGGCAUUGACGCUGAGGCGCGAAAGCCAGGGGAGCAAACGGG
RNAcentral lists this ribosomal RNA (253 nucleotides) under uncultured bacterium. RNAcentral describes it as "partial 16S ribosomal RNA". It matches the Rfam family "Bacterial small subunit ribosomal RNA", at positions 524 to 776 of the family's 1533-position model. The record is from RNAcentral.